This 1095-nucleotide ribosomal RNA is filed under the name Cladosporium sp. RNAcentral describes it as "SSU rRNA". It matches the Rfam family "Eukaryotic small subunit ribosomal RNA", at positions 39 to 1143 of the family's 1831-position model. The record is from RNAcentral. Lineage: Eukaryota; Fungi; Ascomycota; Dothideomycetes; Cladosporiales; Cladosporiaceae.
CAAGAUAAGCCCAUGCAUGUCUAAGUAUAAGCAACUAUACGGUGAAACUGCGAAUGGCUCAUUAAAUCAGUUAUCGUUUAUUUGAUAGUACCUUACUACAUGGAUAACCGUGGUAAUUCUAGAGCUAAUACAUGCUAAAAACCUCGACUUCGGAAGGGGUGUAUUUAUUAGAUAAAAAACCAAUGCCCUUCGGGGCUCCUUGGUGAAUCAUAAUAACUUAACGAAUCGCAUGGCCUUGCGCCGGCGAUGGUUCAUUCAAAUUUCUGCCCUAUCAACUUUCGAUGGUAGGAUAGUGGCCUACCAUGGUAUCAACGGGUAACGGGGAAUUAGGGUUCGACUCCGGAGAGGGAGCCUGAGAAACGGCUACCACAUCCAAGGAAGGCAGCAGGCGCGCAAAUUACCCAAUCCCGACACGGGGAGGUAGUGACAAUAAAUACUGAUACAGGGCUCUUUUGGGUCUUGUAAUUGGAAUGAGUACAAUUUAAAUCCCUUAACGAGGAACAAUUGGAGGGCAAGUCUGGUGCCAGCAGCCGCGGUAAUUCCAGCUCCAAUAGCGUAUAUUAAAGUUGUUGCAGUUAAAAAGCUCGUAGUUGAACCUUGGGCCUGGCUGGCCGGUCCGCCUCACCGCGUGUACUGGUCCGGCCGGGCCUUUCCUUCUGGGGAACCUCAUGCCCUUCACUGGGCGUGUUGGGGAACCAGGACUUUUACUUUGAAAAAAUUAGAGUGUUCAAAGCAGGCCUUUGCUCGAAUACAUUAGCAUGGAAUAAUAGAAUAGGACGUGUGGUUCUAUUUUGUUGGUUUCUAGGACCGCCGUAAUGAUUAAUAGGGAUAGUCGGGGGCAUCAGUAUUCAAUCGUCAGAGGUGAAAUUCUUGGAUUGAUUGAAGACUAACUACUGCGAAAGCAUUUGCCAAGGAUGUUUUCAUUAAUCAGUGAACGAAAGUUAGGGGAUCGAAGACGAUCAGAUACCGUCGUAGUCUUAACCAUAAACUAUGCCGACUAGGGAUCGGACGGUGUUAGUAUUUUGACCCGUUCGGCACCUUACGAGAAAUCAAAGUUUUUGGGUUCUGGGGGGAGUAUGGUCGCAAGCUGAAUAG